CAAAGCCUAGACUGCAGCUACCU
RNAcentral lists this microRNA (23 nucleotides) under Mus musculus (house mouse). RNAcentral's name for it is "mmu-miR-3078-5p". Lineage: Eukaryota; Metazoa; Chordata; Mammalia; Rodentia; Muridae. The record is from miRBase by way of RNAcentral.